Molecule: ribosomal RNA, 514 nt
Filed under: uncultured bacterium
Lineage: Bacteria
Description: partial 16S ribosomal RNA
Rfam family: Bacterial small subunit ribosomal RNA
Source: RNAcentral
GAUGAACGCUGGCGGCGUGCCUAAUACAUGCAAGUCGAGCGAACAGAUGAGAAGCUUGCUUCUCUGAUGUUAGCGGCGGACGGGUGAGUAACACGUGGGUAACCUACCUAUAAGACUGGGAUAACUCCGGGAAACCGGGGCGAAUACCGGAUAAUAUCUUGAACCGCAUGGUUCAAUAGUGAAAGGCGGUUUCGGCUGUCACUUAUAGAUGGACCGGCGCCGUAGUAGCUAGUUGGUAAGGUAACGGCUUACCAAGGCGACGAUACGUAGCCGACCUGAGAGGGUGAUCGGCUACACUGGAACUGAGACACGGUCCAGACUCCCACGGGAGGCAGCAGUAGGGAAUCUUCCGCAAUGGGCGAAAGCCUGACGGAGCAACGCCGCGUGAGUGAUGAAGGUCUUCGGAUCGUAAAACUCUGUUGUUAGGGAAGAACAAAUUUGUUAGUAACUGAACAAGUCUUGACGGUACCUAACCAGAAAGCCACGGCUAACUACGUGCCAGCCGCCGCCGUAA